This 656-nucleotide ribosomal RNA is filed under the name uncultured bacterium. RNAcentral's name for it is "bacterial SSU rRNA". It matches the Rfam family "Bacterial small subunit ribosomal RNA", at positions 31 to 660 of the family's 1533-position model. The record is from RNAcentral.
GAACGCUGGCGGCGUGCCUAAUACAUGCAAGUCGAACGGUCUUUUCUAUGGAAGCUUGCUUCCACUGAGAAGAUAGUGGCGAACGGGUGAGUAACACGUGGGUAACCUGCCCAUAAGAGGGGGAUAGCAUCCGGAAACGGGUGCUAAUACCGCAUAGUUUUCUUGAUCGCAUGAUCGAGAAAGGAAAGACGGCCUUUGUGCUGUCGCUUAUGGAUGGACCCGCGGCGUAUUAGUUAGUUGGUGAGGUAACGGCUCACCAAGACGAUGAUACGUAGCCGACCUGAGAGGGUGAUCGGCCACAUUGGGACUGAGACACGGCCCAAACUCCUACGGGAGGCAGCAGUAGGGAAUCUUCCGCAAUGGACGAAAGUCUGACGGAGCAACGCCGCGUGAGUGAAGAAGGUUUUCGGAUCGUAAAACUCUGUUGUCAGAGAAGAACAAGUCGGAGAGUAACUGCUCCGGCCUUGACGGUAUCUGACCAGAAAGCCACGGCUAACUACGUGCCAGCAGCCGCGGUAAUACGUAGGUGGCAAGCGUUGUCCGGAUUUAUUGGGCGUAAAGCGAGCGCAGGCGGUUCCUUAAGUCUGAUGUGAAAGCCCACGGCUCAACCGUGGAAGGUCAUUGGAAACUGGGGAACUUGAGUGCAGAAGAGGAGA